This 1247-nucleotide long non-coding RNA is filed under the name Homo sapiens (human). RNAcentral describes it as "HSALNT0227003". The record is from RNAcentral. Lineage: Eukaryota; Metazoa; Chordata; Mammalia; Primates; Hominidae.
CAGGCUGCCAGGACAUUGAGACAUGGGAAGAGUCGGUGCGGAGGUGGAGGGGAAGGGAGGAAAGUGAGGAGCCGAGGCCCCCAGAGUCUGCUUAGGCCAGAACCACGGUUCUGGGAGCAGGGUGCAUGGGUCGGGGGUCCAGGAGAAGUAUGACGAGGGGUCCAGGGCUGUCAGGGCACAGGCAAGGUGGAUGGAAACGGGCUCGUGUCGUGGGUGUCCCCCGUGGCUGUGGGAAGGCAUGGGAUGACCUGCACCUGCAAUCCUUUGGCAGAUGGAGAGCAGAUGGAGGACGAGAGCCCGCGCCCCAGCCUUUCUCGCCGUGAAGACCCCCUCUUGUCUCUGCCCGUCUAUAUUCUCUCAUAAACUGAGUCCAGCUUCCAGUACCACAAAUCCCCUCCCGGCACUCGAAUCCACGCAUUUUAAACCCUUAUUGGCCUUUAAAGGAAUCCCGCCCAGCUCAGCCCCUGAGCGCUGGUUUCCACGUGGGUUGCUGCUGACCCUCCCUCGAGCUCCCUGCCGGUCUCUUCAACACCCGGAGGACCCGCGGGUGCGGAGUGCUGUUACCCAAGAGGAGUUACUCUCAGAACUAAGAAGUCGACAAGACAGGAAUGUCACCUUGGGUGGAUGCGCCAGGAGAGGAACUGACAGGAACAACAGCCAUGAGCUUGUUACCUUGGUGCUGUUUUUAUGCUCGUCUUGGCAGCCGUUUUGAGGUGCUCCUCCCUCGGCGCCGGCUUCAGAUUUGGGAGCAAAUGUGAUUCCGCACGAAGGGCAGGUCUAGAAGAAAAACACAGACUGUGGGGACACACCCAGAAACCGCGACUGCCACCCUGAAUUCAGGCAGGUCCGCUGUUGCCAUCUGCCGUCACGCAGCAUGGUGGUGAGCAAGGGGAAGGCACACAGAACCGCUCGGGGAUGAGCUGAAAGCCAACGGGCAAAGUGACAGUGGAAACACACAGAAACCCGGGCACGAACGCAACAGGACCCAAAAAUGGAACCGGGAAUGUUCACUGACUGAACAAUGGAUCAACAAACUGUGGUCUAUUCGAACAAUGGGAUAUUACUCAGCCACGAAAAAGACGGAAGCACUGACGCCUGCCACAGCAUGGUGAACCUCGAAAACAUUAUGCUCGGGGAGGGAAGCCAGACACAGCACAGAUAUUACGUGAUCCCGUCUAUGUGAAAUAUUCAGAAAAGGGCCUGAGGACACCUGUGAGCCGUCAAUGACCUCAAAGCCAGAAAGCAAG